UGAUUGUAUAAUGAUAUAUUUGGGAAAAGUAGCAGUAAAAUGACUUCAAUGAUGAUUUAUUCAAGUAAAGCAAAAAAGUCGGUGAACACAGGUUUUUUAAAUUGUUGCAGGCCUAACUAGAAAUUGAUGGACCUGUAUUUUGAUAAUGAUAUGGAGAGAACAGGAAGUUUCUUCCACCAAACUCCUGAAAGAAGAGAGUUGAUUUCUUACCUGAAAAAAGAUAGUCACUGUUAGAUUUGUGCAGGAAUCAUGGGGUUUUCAAGAUUGGUUUCUGCUUCCCUUUCAACAGUUCCAAUUUUUCUCAUGCUAAAAGUAACUUUUAAUUAGCUGGCAUGGAGAAAGUAAAUUAUUCUAAUCAACUUAUUAGUUUGAGAUUAAAGUUUAGCUAAGCUGUAUCCUUACUCCAAAUUUCCUUGUCUAAUAAAUUGUCCUAAUUAAUACUGGAAUUAUCAAUCAUUCGAUUAAGUGUAUUUGCUUCAUCGGAAACUUGUGCACGCUGAAUAAGCGCUCAAAUUUCAAUGGAAUUUUGGAGGCUUGAGGGAAAUUGAGUGCACCUAGAAAAGAGUCGGCCCUUCUCCUACUUCAACAGAGUCCAAGGUGCAGUCCAUUUUCUUGUAGUGGAAGUUGCAUAAGAUUGACCGACCCUCCCCAGUAAAUUAUUGCAACUCUGGAGCUAAAAUGUGUGCCUAAAGGUAUGCUAUUUCAUCACGGCACCCAUUAAAGUUUAAAAUAUUUUAAAUGGACAUUCCCUUGAAUAA
Molecule: long non-coding RNA, 758 nt
Organism: Hevea brasiliensis (rubber tree)
Lineage: Eukaryota; Viridiplantae; Streptophyta; Magnoliopsida; Malpighiales; Euphorbiaceae
Exons: 2
Source: RefSeq, a predicted model, not a curated record